Molecule: ribosomal RNA, 435 nt
Filed under: uncultured bacterium
Lineage: Bacteria
Description: bacterial SSU rRNA
Rfam family: Bacterial small subunit ribosomal RNA
Source: RNAcentral
UGGGGAAUCUUGGACAAUGGGCGCAAGCCUGAUCCAGCCAUGCCGCGUGAGCGAUGAAGGCCUUAGGGUUGUAAAGCUCUUUCACCGGUGAAGAUAAUGACGGUAGCCGGAGAAGAAGCCCCGGCUAACUCCGUGCCAGCAGCCGCGGUGACACGUAGGCAUCAAGCGUUAUCCGGAUUUAUUGGGCGUAAAGAGCUCGUAGGCGGUUCGGUAAGUCGGGUGUGAAAACUCUGGGCUCAACCCAGAGAGGCCACUCGAUACUGCUGUGACUAGAGUGCGGUAGGGGAGCGGGGAAUUCCUGGUGUAGCGGUGAAAAUGCGCAGAUAUCAGGAGGAACACCAGUGGCGAAAGGCGCCGCUCUGGGCCGUAACUGACGCUGAGGAGCGAAAAGCAUGGGUAGCAAACAGGAUUAGAUACCCUGGUAGUCCAUGCCGU